Molecule: long non-coding RNA, 1219 nt
Filed under: Anas platyrhynchos platyrhynchos (common mallard)
Lineage: Eukaryota; Metazoa; Chordata; Aves; Anseriformes; Anatidae
Description: lncRNA (ENSAPLG00000029476.1)
Source: RNAcentral
CUCCUAUAGACCAAACCCAAAAUAUUCUGCUAAGUUCUCAGCUUGCGUAGCCAUAAGAUAUUUCUCAUUUUUUGCUCUCCAGUUAAAAGGAAAAAAAAAAAAAAUGUUGCCCACAGUAGGCAAGCUGAGUACUGAGCCCAAAACUACGAGAGUUUAUAACACAGACUAGAUUGUGAUGAAUUAUUCAGAAACCCAAAUGUGCUGUACCGUGCAAUGACAGAAGCUAAAUGAAAAUGUGCCAUUUUGGGAUAUGCAUGCAACAGAUGUAAAUAGCAAGGCUGUAAGACUAUAUAUGCAAAAUAUUUGCAAAUAGGUAAACACUUCUGUUCAAAACAACAGUAGAAUUGCAGGAAACAAGUAGAAAGCACAAAGGAGGCGGAAUAUCAGUGGCAGAUGCUGGUCUUUAGGGUUAUACAACACACAUUGCUCCACACCAUCCAGGAGAGCAAAAUCUGGUUCUCUAGGACAGAGGCACCAGCAGUUAAGGAUGCUGCAUUGCAUGAUUAACCGAUGCCGUAACUGGAAACCUCAUCCUGAAUCAUCAAGCCGUGGUUAAAGAGCAAGGACCAAGUACGAGCCCACCCAAGUUUUAGAUAGCUGGGGGAUGUGCAUUUCCCCUUAAGCCUUCUUGAUCUGCUAAGAAACACAGAGAGGGACUUACCUUUCCUUGCUGACAAACAGGGGCCGGGCCGGGUGCGGACACCGCCUGCAGACAUCGCCCCAGCUCCACCCUGGGCAGCAAUCACUGCCCUAAUGCUCCUCUCCAGGCCCUCCCCGUCGCACCAGCACACCCCCCCGUCGGAUCUGCGGGGCACUGUGGGGUGGCUGUGUAGGACGUGGGCACGCGGCAGUGCCCGCAGGAAGGGUCCGUGACCCCGCAAGGAUGGCGCUGCCCUGACACUGCAGGCCUGAGCAUGGGCUUGCACAUGGGAAGCCUCUUGGAAGUACACGUUAUUAGAAUAUGGGUGGUGACUGAGGGCCCCCAAAAGGGAAUUUUUUGACUGAAAAAUGUGGUUGUGUCCAGGACUGGAAUGCCAUUAAAGUCCGAUCUCUAUGAAAUGUUGCAUGUGUCCAUGAUUUAUCUAUAUGGGCUUUGAAUUCUUGAGGCUACAGCUUUUAAUCAGUGCUAUUUGCAUUACAUAACAUCUUUUAUUUUCAGUCUGAGUUUUGUUUUAAUGAGUGUUUUGUUAAACACAUCAAUGGCGACUCUUCUCUGCCA